GGCGAUCAGAUACCGCCCUAGUUCUGACCGUAAACGAUGCCAACUAGCGAUCCGCCAGUCGACUCAUCGCUCUGGUGGGGAGCUUCCCGGAAACGAAAGUCUUCCGGUUCCGGGGGAAGUAUGGUUGCAAAGCUGAAACUUAAAGGAAUUGACGGAAGGGCACCACCAGGAGUGGAGCCUGCGGCUUAAUUUGACUCAACACGGGGAAACUCACCCGGCCCGGACACCGUAAGGAUUGACAGAUUGAUGGCUUUUUCAUGAUUCGGUGGAUGGUGGUGCAUGGCCGUUCUUAGUUCGUGGAGCGAUUUGUCUGGUUUAUUCCGAUAACGAGCGAGACUCUGGCCUACUAAAUAGUUGACGCAUUGCCACUGUGCGCACAACUUCUUAGAGGGAUUUUCGGUGUUUUCAACCGCACGAAAUUGAGCAAUAACAGGUCUGUGAUGCCCUUAGAUGUCCGGGGCUGCACGCGCGCUACACUGGCAAACGCAACGUGCCUGUCUGCCCCGAAAGGAGCGGGUAAACGCUGAAAUUUUGCCGUGACUGGGAUCGGACAUUGCAACUAUUGUCCGUGAACGAGGAAUUCCUUGUAGGGGCGAGUCAUCAACUCGUCCCGAAUACGUCCCUGCCCUUGUA
Molecule: ribosomal RNA, 633 nt
Filed under: Rotylenchulus reniformis
Lineage: Eukaryota; Metazoa; Nematoda; Chromadorea; Rhabditida; Hoplolaimidae
Description: SSU rRNA
Rfam family: Eukaryotic small subunit ribosomal RNA
Source: RNAcentral